UACGGAGGGGGCGAGCGUUGUUCGGAAUCACUGGGCGUAAAGCGUGCGUAGGCGGUUAUACAAGUCAGGAGUGAAAUCCCAGGGCUCAACCUUGGAAUUGCUUUUGAGACUGUAUGACUAGAGAUCUAGAGAGGUUGGGGGAAUUCCGAGUGUAGAGGUGAAAUUCGCAGAUAUUCGGAGGAACACCAGUGGCGUAGGCGCCCAACUGGCUAGAUACUGACGCUGAGGCACGAAAGCGUGGGGAGCAAAC
RNAcentral lists this ribosomal RNA (250 nucleotides) under uncultured bacterium. RNAcentral's name for it is "partial 16S ribosomal RNA". It matches the Rfam family "Bacterial small subunit ribosomal RNA", at positions 524 to 773 of the family's 1533-position model. The record is from RNAcentral.